UACGGAGGAUGCGAGCGUUAUCCGGAUUUAUUGGGUUAAAGGGUGCGUAGGCGGACUACCAAGUCAGCGGUAAAUUGCGGGGCUCAACCCGUCGAGCCGUUGAAACUGGCAGUCUUGAGUGGGCGAGAAGUAUGCGGAAUGCGUGGUGUAGCGGUGAAAUGCAUAGAUAUCACGCAGAACUCCGAUUGCGAAGGCAGCAUACCGGCGCCCUACUGACGCUGAGGCACGAAAGCGUGGGUAUCGAACAGG
Molecule: ribosomal RNA, 249 nt
Filed under: uncultured bacterium
Lineage: Bacteria
Description: partial 16S ribosomal RNA
Rfam family: Bacterial small subunit ribosomal RNA
Source: RNAcentral